Molecule: ribosomal RNA, 255 nt
Filed under: Clostridium botulinum
Lineage: Bacteria; Bacillati; Bacillota; Clostridia; Eubacteriales; Clostridiaceae
Description: partial 23S ribosomal RNA
Rfam family: Bacterial large subunit ribosomal RNA
Source: RNAcentral
AGCCCAAACCAGAAACUUGUUUCUGGGGUUGUGGAUAGAUCAUAAAAGAAGAGGUAUCUUAAUCGAAGAGGGCUGGAACGCCCUACCAUAGAAGGUAAUAGUCCUGUAGGUAAAAAGAGAAAACUUCGAGAUCUAAUCCAGAGUACCACGAGACACGUGAAACCUUGUGGGAAGCAGGGAGGACCACCUCCCAAGGCUAAAUACUACCUAGUGACCGAUAGUGAAGCAGUACCGUGAGGGAAAGGUGAAAAGAAC